This 73-nucleotide transfer RNA is filed under the name Lachnospiraceae bacterium. RNAcentral's name for it is "tRNA-Thr". It matches the Rfam family "tRNA". Rfam says of the family: Transfer RNA (tRNA) molecules are approximately 80 nucleotides in length. Their secondary structure includes four short double-helical elements and three loops (D, anti-codon, and T loops). Lineage: Bacteria; Bacillati; Bacillota; Clostridia; Lachnospirales; Lachnospiraceae. The record is from RNAcentral.
GCUGCCUUGGCGCAGCUGGUAGCGCGCAUCCUUGGUAAGGAUGAGGUCGGCAGUUCAAAUCUGCUAGGCAGCU